This 748-nucleotide ribosomal RNA is filed under the name uncultured Moraxella sp. Its description in RNAcentral is "bacterial SSU rRNA". It matches the Rfam family "Bacterial small subunit ribosomal RNA", at positions 28 to 776 of the family's 1533-position model. Lineage: Bacteria; Pseudomonadati; Pseudomonadota; Gammaproteobacteria; Moraxellales; Moraxellaceae. The record is from RNAcentral.
AUUGAACGCUGGCGGCAGGCUUAACACAUGCAAGUCGAACGAUGAAGUCUAGCUUGCUAGACGGAUUAGUGGCGAACGGGUGAGUAAUGCUUAGGAAUCUGCCUAUUAGUGGGGGAUAACGUAGGGAAACUUACGCUAAUACCGCAUACGACCUACGGGUGAAAGGGGGCUUUUAGCUCUCGCUAAUAGAUGAGCCCAAGUCGGAUUAGCUGGUUGAUGGGGUAAAGGCCUACCAAGGCGACGAUCUGUAGCUGGUCUGAGAGGAUGAUCAGCCACACUGGGACUGAGACACGGCCCAGACUCCUACGGGAGGCAGCAGUGGGGAAUAUUGGACAAUGGGCGAAAGCCUGAUCCAGCCAUGCCGCGUGUGUGAAGAAGGCCUUUUGGUUGUAAAGCACUUUAAGUGGGGAGGAAAAGCUUAUGGUUAAUACCCAUAAGCCCUGACGUUACCCACAGAAUAAGCACCGGCUAACUCUGUGCCAGCAGCCGCGGUAAUACAGAGGGUGCAAGCGUUAAUCGGAAUUACUGGGCGUAAAGCGCGCGUAGGUGGUUAUUUAAGUCAGAUGUGAAAGCCCCGGGCUUAACCUGGGAACUGCAUCUGAUACUGGAUAACUAGAGUAGGUGAGAGGGGAGUAGAAUUCCAGGUGUAGCGGUGAAAUGCGUAGAGAUCUGGAGGAAUACCGAUGGCGAAGGCAGCUCCCUGGCAUCAUACUGACACUGAGGUGCGAAAGCGUGGGUAGCAAACAGG